UGCCAGCUGAGCACAACGGCUCCGGACCCGGGCCCCGAUUACAGGCAGGUCCACGACACCCAGGCAGACAGGGAGCUCAGCCUUCCCCCACAGCCACAGGAAUGACUCUCAGCAGCCAGGCAGCGGAGCACGCUGGCCACAGGCCACAGGCCCGCACCCCAGCCCCGACUACAGGCAGGGUCCAGCCAGCCCGGCCCCACGCCUCUGAAAGGCGGCGGCCCCAGACACCCACCUCCUUGCAGGGGGUCGCUCCGAGCACCUGCCGCAGAGCGCAGCGCAGGGGACGCGCACAACCCUGCUUACAGGGCCGUCCCCACAACGCUCCGCGCCACCCACCAGCCCCACAAAGCUGGGGGCUCUGACCUACGCCCGAGCUACGGGCUGGCCAUCCUGGCUGCAGCACAACAGCGUGUCUUCCGGAGCCCGGGGGGACCUCAAGCCCAGCUGCGGGCAGCCCCCCCCCCAAAAAAAGGAGCACCGGAGCCCAGACGGCACCCUCCGGCACUGCACUUCCUCCGCCUGCCCCCUUACAGGGCCUCGGAGGGGUCAUUCCUGGUGGCUGGCUAAAGCAGCAGGCCGCAGGAGGGCACGAUCCCUCCACCUGCCUUACAGGCGGGCCAAGCUGCUCCGGGUGACAAAGGGCUCCGCAGCUCCUGACGCGCACCCUGACUGCGGGGCGGUCACGCUGGCCACGCUGCCAGCAGGACAGGCAGCCACGCGGGCAGAGACCUGGGCCCCGACUACGGGCAGGUCCCAUUGCCCACGCUAGCACCAAGUGGCUUGGCUCUGCCCGAGCAAGCAAGGGGCAAGCCGGAGCUCUCCCCCUCCUCAAAUCUGGGGCUCAGGGAGGACCCUCCGUCGCUGCACUGAGCUCUUCUUUCAGGCCUGGGAAGCUGAAGCUAGUACGCUGCAGCGCUUUGUACAGAGGCCUAAAGGACAAGCACACUCGCUCGCUCACGCGCUCCAACAAGGACAGAGGACAAGAAGAAAGACACAAAGACAGGAGA
Non-coding RNA from Struthio camelus australis, 1007 nucleotides. NCBI's taxonomy places the organism in Eukaryota, Metazoa, Chordata, Aves, Struthioniformes, Struthionidae. The record is from RefSeq and is a predicted model, not a curated record.